AAUGAACGCUGGCGGCAGGCCUAACACAUGCAAGUCGAACGAAGCCUUCGGGCUUAGUGGCGGACGGGUGAGUAACGCGUGGGAACAUACCCAAAGGUACGGAAUAGCCUCGGGAAACUGGGAGUAAUACCGUAUGUGCCCUUCGGGGGAAAGAUUUAUCGCCUUUGGAUUGGCCCGCGUUGGAUUAGGUAGUUGGUGGGGUAAUGGCCUACCAAGCCGACGAUCCAUAGCUGGUUUGAGAGGAUGAUCAGCCACACUGGGACUGAGACACGGCCCAGACUCCUACGGGAGGCAGCAGUGGGGAAUCUUAGACAAUGGGCGCAAGCCUGAUCCAGCAAUGCCGCGUGAGUGAUGAAGGCCUUAGGGUUGUAAAGCUCUUUUACCCGGGAUGAUAAUGACAGUACCGGGAGAAUAAGCUCCGGCUAACUCCGUG
This 433-nucleotide ribosomal RNA is filed under the name uncultured Alphaproteobacteria bacterium. RNAcentral's name for it is "bacterial SSU rRNA". It matches the Rfam family "Bacterial small subunit ribosomal RNA", at positions 29 to 507 of the family's 1533-position model. The record is from RNAcentral. Lineage: Bacteria; Pseudomonadati; Pseudomonadota; Alphaproteobacteria.